Molecule: ribosomal RNA, 497 nt
Filed under: uncultured bacterium
Lineage: Bacteria
Description: partial 16S ribosomal RNA
Rfam family: Bacterial small subunit ribosomal RNA
Source: RNAcentral
GAUGAACGCUGGCGGCGUGCCUAAUACAUGCAAGUCGAGCGAACGGACGAGAAGCUUGCUUCUCUGAUGUUAGCGGCGGACGGGUGAGUAACACGUGGAUAACCUACCUAUAAGACUGGGAUAACUUCGGGAAACCGGAGCUAAUACCGGAUAAUAUUUUGAACCGCAUGGUUCAAAAGUAAAAGACGGUCUUGCUGUCGCUUAUAGAUGGAUCCGCGCUGCAUUAGCUAGUUGGUAAGGUAACGGCUUACCAAGGCAACGAUGCAUAGCCGACCUGAGAGGGUGAUCGGCCACCCUGGAACUGAGACACGGUCCAGACUCCUACGGGAGGCAGCAGUAGGGAAUCUUCCGCAAUGGGCGAAAGCCUGACGGAGCAACGCCGCGUGAGUGAUGAAGGUCUUCGGAUCGUAAAACUCUGUUAUUAGGGAAGAACAUAUGUGUAAGUAACUGUGCACAUCUUGACGGUACCUAAUCAGAAAGCCACGGCUAACUACGUG